RNAcentral lists this unclassified non-coding RNA (250 nucleotides) under plant metagenome. Its description in RNAcentral is "partial contains small subunit ribosomal RNA, internal transcribed spacer 1, and 5.8S ribosomal RNA". The record is from RNAcentral.
GUUGGUGAACCAGCGGAGGGAUCAUUACUAGAGCAAAGGAUAGACAGCGCCCGUGGAGCUCGCUCCCGGGGCCACCCUACUCCGGUAGGGUUUAGAGUCGUCGAGCCUCUCGAAGAAGCUCGGUCCUGAACUCCACCCUUGAAUAAACUACCUUUGUUGCUUUGGCGGGCCGCCUCGUGCCAGCGGCUUCGGCUGUUGAGUGCCCGCCAGAGGACCACAACUCUUGUUUUUAGUGAUGUCUGAGUACUAU